UGCCAUGUGUGAAUGGAUCUGGAGGUU
RNAcentral lists this non-coding RNA (27 nucleotides) under Mus musculus (house mouse). Lineage: Eukaryota; Metazoa; Chordata; Mammalia; Rodentia; Muridae. The record is from RNAcentral.